UACGUAGGGUGCAAGCGUUGUCCGGAAUUAUUGGGCGUAAAGAGCUCGUAGGCGGUUUGUCGCGUCUGCUGUGAAAACUCGGGGCUUAACCCCGGGCCUGCAGUGGGUACGGGCAGACUAGAGUGCGGUAGGGGAGACUGGAAUUCCUGGUGUAGCGGUGAAAUGCGCAGAUAUCAGGAGGAACACCGGUGGCGAAGGCGGGUCUCUGGGCCGCAACUGACGCUGAGGAGCGAAAGCGUGGGGAGCGAACAGG
Molecule: ribosomal RNA, 253 nt
Filed under: uncultured bacterium
Lineage: Bacteria
Description: partial 16S ribosomal RNA
Rfam family: Bacterial small subunit ribosomal RNA
Source: RNAcentral